CUGCCCUCAAGCCCGGCUUGUGUGUUGGGCCGUCGUCCCCCGAUUCCCGGGGGACGGGCCCGAAAGGCAGCGGCGGCACCGCGUCCGGUCCUCGAGCGUAUGGGGCUUUGUCACCCGCUUCGUAGGCCCGGCCGGCGCCUCAGCCGACCCUCCAACCUUUAUUUCUCCA
Molecule: unclassified non-coding RNA, 169 nt
Filed under: uncultured Neosartorya
Lineage: Eukaryota; Fungi; Ascomycota; Eurotiomycetes; Eurotiales; Aspergillaceae
Description: sequence contains ITS2
Source: RNAcentral